Molecule: long non-coding RNA, 499 nt
Filed under: Rattus norvegicus (Norway rat)
Lineage: Eukaryota; Metazoa; Chordata; Mammalia; Rodentia; Muridae
Description: long non-coding RNA NONRATT023873
Source: RNAcentral
CUCUCAGAAAGCAGCAGCAGCCCAGGAAUCCGGUGGCCCCCUUUUUCAAGUGUCCCUGCGUGACUCUGUACCACAGGGAGUUGUGCUUCUGCAUGUCAGCGCGUUCAGUUCUGAGUGUGACGUCUACCUUGAAUGACGGCCUGCGGCGGCAGCAGCAGCUUCCUCCUGUUUCCUGCUUUCCUCUGUCCCUGAUGACCUUUUCUGCUUUUGUUGUGGUAGUAUGUACGACAGUCCUUUCUCCUCCCUCUUCCUCGCACUUUCUGGGGACAGUAGUGAAGAAGAAGAAGAAGAAGAUGAGGAGGAUGAUGAUGAAGGUGGUGGUGAUGAUGAUUUUUCUUGUGUCCAGUUUGGGUCCAGGUAUCACAGAAUGGAGUCUGACCCUGCAUGUGCUUCAGGUGCUUAGGGACUAACGUUAGCAAGCGCUGCUUAGGGCUCUCCGCUUUGAGUCCAGACAGGGCAGAAGGCUCGCAGGCGUGCACUCGAGUAGAAGUGACACAUC